This 497-nucleotide ribosomal RNA is filed under the name uncultured bacterium. Its description in RNAcentral is "partial 16S ribosomal RNA". It matches the Rfam family "Bacterial small subunit ribosomal RNA", at positions 28 to 507 of the family's 1533-position model. The record is from RNAcentral.
GAUGAACGCUGGCGGCGUGCCUAAUACAUGCAAGUCGAGCGAACGGACGAGAAGCUUGCUUCUCUAAUGUUAGCGGCGGACGGGUGAGUAACACGUGGAUAACCUACCUAUAAGACUGGGAUAACUUCGGGAAACCGUAGCUAAUACCGGAUAAUAUUUUGAACCGCAUGGUUCAAAAGUGAAAGACGGUCUUGCUGUCACUUAUAGAUGGAUCCGCGCUGCAUUAGCUAGUUGGUAAGGUAACGGCUUACCAAGGCAACGAUGCAUAGCCGACCUGAGAGGGUGAUAGGCCACACGGGAACUGAGACACGGUCCAGACUCCUGCGGGAGGCAGCAGUAGGGAAUCUUCCGCAAUGGGCGAAAGCCUGACGGAGCAACGCCGCGUGAGUGAUGAAGGUCUUCGGAUCGUAAAACUCUGUUAUUAGGGAAGAACAUAUGUGUAAGUAACUGUGCACAUCUUGACGGUACCUAAUCAGAAAGCCACGGCUAACUACGUG